RNAcentral lists this non-coding RNA (896 nucleotides) under Trichomonas vaginalis G3. Its description in RNAcentral is "Eukaryotic small subunit ribosomal RNA". It matches the Rfam family "Eukaryotic small subunit ribosomal RNA", at positions 506 to 1547 of the family's 1831-position model. Lineage: Eukaryota; Parabasalia; Trichomonadida; Trichomonadidae. The record is from Rfam by way of RNAcentral.
ACUGUGGAUAGGGGUACGGUUUUCCACCGUACCGAAACCUAGCAGAGGGCCAGUCUGGUGCCAGCAGCUGCGGUAAUCCCAGCUCUGCGAGUUUGCUCCCAUAUUGUUGCAGUUAAAACGCCCGUAGUCUGAAUUGGCCAGCAAUGGUCGUACGUAUUUUUACGUUCACUGUGAACAAAUCAGGACGCUUAGAGUAUGGCCACAUGAAUGACUCAGCGCAGUAUGAAGUCUUUGUUUUCUUCCGAAAACAAGCUCAAUGAGAGCCAUCGGGGGUAGAUCUAUCUCAUGACGAGUGGUGGAAUACUUUGACUCAUGAGAGAGAAGCUGAGGCGAAGGCGUCUACCUAGAGGGUUUCUGUCGAUCAAGGGCGAGAGUAGGAGUAUCCAACAGGAUUAGAGACCCUGGUAGUUCCUACCUUAAACGAUGCCGACAGGAGUUUGUCAUUUGUUAAUGGCAGAAUCUUUGGAGAAAUCAUAGUUCUUGGGCUCUGGGGGAACUACGACCGCAAGGCUGAAACUUGAAGGAAUUGACGGAAGGGCACACCAGGGGUGGAGCCUGUGGCUUAAUUUGAAUCAACACGGGGAAACUUACCAGGACCAGAUGUUUUUUAUGACUGACAGGCUUCGGGUCUUUCAGGAUAUUGUUUUUGGUGGUGCAUGGCCGUUGGUGGUGCGUGGGUUGACCUGUCUAGCGUUGAUUCAGCUAACGAGCGAGAUUAUCGCCAAUUAUUUACUUUGCCGAAGUCCUUCGGUUAAAGUUCUAAUUGGGACUCCCUGCGAUUUUAGCAGGUGGAAGAGGGUAGCAAUAACAGGUCCGUGAUGCCCUUUAGAUGCUCUGGGCUGCACGCGUGCUACAAUGUUAGGAUCAAUAGGACUGCGAGCCUGAGAGGGUGCGCU